UACGAAGGGAGCAAGCGUUAUUCGGAAUUACUGGGCGUAAAGGGCGUGUAGGCGGCCUUAUAAGUCAUCUGUUAAAGACCGGUGCAUAACAUCGGAAAAGCAGAUGAAACUGUAAGGCUAGAGGGUAAGAGAGAGAAGUGGAAUUCUUGGAGUAGCGGUUAAAUGCGUAGAUCUCAAGAGGAACACCGAUGGCGAAGGCAGCUUCUUGGCUUACAACUGACGCUGAGGCGCGAAAGCGUGGGGAGCAAACAGG
RNAcentral lists this unclassified non-coding RNA (253 nucleotides) under uncultured bacterium. RNAcentral's name for it is "contains 16S-23S intergenic spacer region". It matches the Rfam family "Bacterial small subunit ribosomal RNA", at positions 524 to 776 of the family's 1533-position model. The record is from RNAcentral.